GUACAAUACCAUAACACAGCCACAUCUAAAACUAAAGGGGUCUCUAUACUGAUGAGCAAAGAUGUAUCCUUCAAGCCCCUGUACGAGGACACAGAUAUGCAGGGGAGGUACAUAAUACUGACGUGUGAGAUCAACAACUUAGAACACACAUUUGUAAACAUUUACGCACCAAAUGCCAACCAGAGAAACUUCCUGCAUAAAAUCAUAACGCGCCUAGCGCAAGUUCAGAGGGGUAUCACGAUCAUAUGUGGAGACUUGAACCACAUACUAGACCCCAAAAGAGACACAACGGUAAGACCAAACACACCAAGAAACGCAACCCUCACAUGAGAAUGCAAACCCUUAGUUCGACUACUUAGCGAACACGACCUAUAUGAUGCAUGGAGGGUAUUACAUCCGGAG
Non-coding RNA from Pelobates cultripes (western spadefoot toad), 402 nucleotides. Lineage: Eukaryota; Metazoa; Chordata; Amphibia; Anura; Pelobatidae. The record is from the annotation of a GenBank genome assembly.